RNAcentral lists this transfer RNA (75 nucleotides) under Bradyrhizobium sp. STM 3809. RNAcentral describes it as "tRNA-Ser". It matches the Rfam family "tRNA". From Rfam's summary of the family: Transfer RNA (tRNA) molecules are approximately 80 nucleotides in length. Their secondary structure includes four short double-helical elements and three loops (D, anti-codon, and T loops). The record is from RNAcentral. Lineage: Bacteria; Pseudomonadati; Pseudomonadota; Alphaproteobacteria; Hyphomicrobiales; Nitrobacteraceae.
GCGCCGUGGUGAAGAGUGCUGAUACUUCGAUUGCUAAUCGAGAGGUCGUGGGUUCGAGUCCCACCCGGCGUUCCA